UAUGCUCAAAUCAUGCCGAGAACACUGGUUCUCAUUUGAUCCCCAAAGUUAAGCAGCAUCAAGCCCAGUCAGUACUUAGAUGGUGGCCUGCUUGGAAACAUCCAGUACUGUAA
Molecule: non-coding RNA, 113 nt
Organism: Acanthosepion pharaonis
Lineage: Eukaryota; Metazoa; Mollusca; Cephalopoda; Sepiida; Sepiidae
Source: the annotation of a GenBank genome assembly